CUUAUUUCUAUCAACACAACCAAAACUCCUCCAGCACUGGGAUAAAUGAGAGGCAAACACUUUGUGCAGACACCUCGGUGGCUGCCCUCAGGACACGAGCUGCUGUCACGUGGCUCCCUGGUGGUAACCUGCUCAUCUUCCCAGUCCCUUAGGAAAACAUUUUCCUGGCCAAGCCAGGCGUACUGAUACAAAAACGGGGUGUAGACCAGACCAGAGAUAGGGAAAUUUCACUAAACAGGUGUGGUGCAUUAUUAGACACUUCAUGUUUUCUAUUUUUACCUUAAUCUCUUUGCUCUUCCCUCAGGGCUUGUGUAGUCUAGAAAAGAUUUAUUUUAAAACUUAUUAGCUGGAGUGUUUGAGCUAAUAUGUUUAAAAUCCCUAGUUUCUGAUCCUCACUCCUACCAUGGCUACUCAGUUUCCUCAGGCGGUGCAAAGGAGUUGCCUUGUCACCACCAUGUCCCUUUUGAGGGCAAGGCUGUUGUCACAUUUCCCAUGACGCGUUCACCUAAUUUGGUAAUUUCUCCAUUAGAAAAUACUCUGUGCUGCCCGUACCAGGGCUUUAACGGGUUUUAAUUAAAACAUUUGAGCUAGCAUAUAUUAAAAAUACACCUUUUGUCCCAGGGCUCCGACACAUGAGCAAGUCACAGCAAGGCAACUGCAUGGGCACCAUCAGCCUCUGUUGCUCACAGGUUGGUUCAGCUUCAGCUCAUUUCUCAGGCCCUAAUCUGUGCAAUAUCUCUACACACAAAUAAUCCACAAACCAAGAGCCAGGCUAUAUUUUCUAAGGAAGGCAAUUAUUUAAAUGUUCCUCAGUAAAUUCUCAAUCUCAUUUCCAUUUAAACAAUUUAAUUCUGGUCACAAUGUCAGCCACUGUAUUGCUUUAAAACAGCAUAUCCAUAGCUUGAAGAAUGCGAUUUGCCAUUAAGAGAGUAACCACACAUCUGCCACCUUGAUCACUAUGUUUGUGUUAUUAUCAACUUCUGUCUCAGUGCCAAGAAAUUUAAUCAAACUCCAGCAAAGAAAUAAUAACAUUUCAGUUGAACAAUGGCGUGGCCCUUUGAAAAAGCAGUGAUUUGCUCUAGGGUGCACUAAAAGGAGAGAAGGUCUGUAAACAAAGGGUAGCACUGUGAAAAAAAUAUUAUCUGUCAAAUCUAGCUUUUUUUUUUCCUUCUUUCUACUUGCAAAUAAUUAUCCAACAGUUUGCAGCUACUAUAAAUGUACCAACCUUCAACAGAUACGCUGUGUAACUGCUUAUUUAGAGGUUGUUGGCAGUUUGCUUGGUUGAGUAUUUAUGGCUUCCUUUUCAUGCUAUGUGAAAGGCUCACAGCCCAUUACUUUCCUUCUGUACCCCAACUGGACCAUCCAAAGCAAAACACAGAGUUGUCUUGGAAAAAGAAAAACAAAAUAAAAAAUUGAAAGAAAAAAGGAAAGGAAAUAAGCAAGCUGAGGAAAUAUUAAAACGUGUGAAAUCUUUCCCAUCUUUUAGAGUCAAGAUCAUUGUGUCUGGUUUUGCUCCUAGAUUGUUUAAACUAUUGAUAGAGGAAGAGAAGGCAUAAGUCAUAUUUACCGACUGCCUGGAAAUCUGCUCAGCCGAUGUAAAUUCUUUGCAUGUGAGUGCAUGUCCAUAUGCCGUGUUGUUUGCGAAGGGUGCAGUCCCUUAUCCUUGGCCCUUUUGUUUGAGUAAAUGCUUAAGUGCCAAGCCUUUGACCAGAGACAUCAGGAAACUGCUGCCUGUCCUCCCGCCACACCUCCAGCGCACAUUGCUGCAGCCAAAGCCAGUUGUCUUGCUUUUACCCAGUGCUAUCACUGAGCAACAACAGCAUUGCUGAACCAGUGUGUCUAUAUUUUUUUUUGCCUCUGAAGCCAACUCUACUUCUGUAAUUCUUCACUACCAACAACAUAACAGAUAGCUCAAGCACCUGGCAUAUAUUUCCCCUGUAGAUCAAGUAAGGGAUGGCGGUGUGUUGUUACCAAUGAAGAGAAUAUAGGCUGCUAAUUGCCAAACAACUGGAGUCUGUGUCUACAGGAGAGUUACUUCUGAAGGGAAUGGGAGCCCUGGAAGCUCUAAAUAAUGGAUUUAUAAAGGCAGCAUUCAGAAUUGUAUCAGUCAUGCUGACGAAUGAUCAAGGCAGGUUUUAGCAGCUGUACGGAUGCUGCAGCUGAUGGGCUUCUAGGGAAAAUCAGUAUCCUCCCUGGGAGACAGAACUCCACCAGACUAUGAUGGUCUGCUUCUGGAAGCCAAACGAGGACCGACCCAAGCGGUGUGUCAAAAAUUUGGACAAGCUAUCACAAAACCACUGCCAGGUCUUCUGGAGCGGCAUGGAAAGUUCCCACUCCAAAGGAACUCAAGAGCUUAUAGGCAUGAGUCACCAACUCCUUUUUCUCAUCUGCCGUGCCCCAAAGAAAAUUUGUGAUGAUUCAGACAGAAGAAGUUGUUCGAGAGGCCGUACUGUGAGUACACAACCAUUACAGGGGGGAACUACUGGUGAAAGAGGAGGUGGUUGCAUUAGCGGUGCUGGCUGUUGCUACCUUCAUCCGUCAACAGCUUAAUUCCUCAGUAAAAUACCCAGAGAAUCACGUUCAGCCCUUUUGUCCUUUCUAACAGGAACUGAGUGGCAAUCAUUAAAAAAUAGGCCAUAUUUGUCAGUGUGCCUUUUCCCCACCCCUUUCUCCUUGCUGAGAUAGGCGCUGACCCACCCUUCCCUUUGAAGGCAGCUGGCUGUGUUAUUGCUCAGAUAAGCACACAUCUGCACUCCUGAGGUUCUCUGACAGGUCAGCAGAGAAUAUAUCAGCUAAGACGGGGGAAAAAAAAGCCUCCCCCGGUGCUACCUGAAAGCCUUCCAUUCUGAAUUGUCUGGUUGCUGAUGCUGCCGAUCUCUGUUGAAGGGAAGCAGAAGGUUCAUGGAGUGGAGAAUUGCUGGCCCAGAAACAUCCCACUGCAGCUCUCAUUUUUAACUAUGUUCAGUCUCUUCUGUGAUUUUAAGUUUUCGCCUACAUUUGGUGGAGAUGAUUGCUGUUUCUCUACAAAAGCAUCUGCAAUGAUACAAAAGUCUCCAGUCAAGUGUCUGUGGUCCAUGAACAUGACAAAAAUACAUAAUAAAUACAGUACUUCUACUCCUAAAGCCAUUUUUUAAAUGGGCACAUAUUUAUAUGUGCUAUGCUGUGGAAUAUAUGCACCGUGUCAUUAUAUACUCAGAUUGUAUGGUUCGCAGGAAAUUAAAUUUGGUAUACUCAUAGACAAAUAUUUACAUUAUUAGUAGUCAUCUUUAGGAACAUGGCAUUAUCACAAAUGCAG
Long non-coding RNA from Gallus gallus (chicken), 3295 nucleotides. NCBI's taxonomy places the organism in Eukaryota, Metazoa, Chordata, Aves, Galliformes, Phasianidae. The record is from Ensembl.